Molecule: ribosomal RNA, 453 nt
Filed under: uncultured bacterium
Lineage: Bacteria
Description: partial 16S ribosomal RNA
Rfam family: Bacterial small subunit ribosomal RNA
Source: RNAcentral
ACUCAAAUGAAUUGACGGGGGCCCGCACAAGCAGCGGAGCGUGUGGUUUAAUUCGAUGCAACGCGCAGAACCUUACCUCGGCUUGACAUGCAUGUGGUACCAACCCGUAAGGGAAGGGACCCGCGAGGGAGCAUGCACAGAUGCUGCAUGGCUGUCGUCAGCUCGUGCCGUGAGGUGUUGGGUUAAGUCCCGCAACGAGCGCAACCCUUGUCCUUAGUUAAAAUGUCUAAGGAGACCGCCGGUCUAAACCGGAGGAAGGUGGGGAUGACGUCAAGUCAGCACGGCUCUUACGUCGAGGGCUACACACACGCUACAAUGGCCGGUACAACGGGCUGCCAAGGGGCGACCUGGAGCUAAUCCCACCAAAGCCGGUCUCAGUUCGGAUCGCAGGCUGCAACUCGCCUGCGUGAAGUCGGAGUUGCUAGUAACUGCUGGUCAGCACACACCGCCCGU